Molecule: non-coding RNA, 162 nt
Organism: Glycine max (soybean)
Lineage: Eukaryota; Viridiplantae; Streptophyta; Magnoliopsida; Fabales; Fabaceae
Source: Rfam
GUGAGCUGUGUGAUGGGAAAUCUUUUCGCAUGGUUCGGAGAGCAUUGAAUUAGAAUGAGAGGUUCACCUCCGUCAUUGGUGGUUCGCUGGUGGUGGCUGUCCAACAAGAAGAAAGAGUGAAAGAGAGGAGUGAGGAAGUCCUAAUUUUUCUGUUGAUUCUCU